Molecule: transfer RNA, 65 nt
Filed under: Anobiinae sp. BMNH 1274383
Lineage: Eukaryota; Metazoa; Arthropoda; Insecta; Coleoptera; Ptinidae
Description: Anobiidae sp. BMNH 1274383 tRNA-Ile
Source: RNAcentral
UUACUUGUGCCUGAUAAAUAGGACUAUUUUGAUAGAAUAGAAAAUGUAAUAAAUUACCAAGUAAU